UUGAAUUCUAUUUCUUAAGUUGACAAUCUAAAAUUUAAAGACCUUAUAAAUUUUUGAAAAAUCUGAAUCAUGCUUUUUUUUUCUGUUGCUUUCAUUAUUUAUGAAGUUUUCUAAAACUUAGAACAAUGUGAAAGUUUUAAAAACUCACUUAGGAAGAAAGUUCAAGGUGUUACUCUAACUUAAUUCUUUAUUAAAAAGAAAAGCAAUGACUGAAGAAUGAUAUUUACAUUNNNNNNNNNNNNNNNNNNNNNNNNNNNNNNCAGUCUCUGAAACAGUUCCUUUCAGCUGUCUGUCCUGGUGCCUAUCAAGCUAAUAGAAUAUUCUUCCCAUUGUUAAUAUCCUUUGCUUUCAUAUGGUCCUAAAGCAUUGUUUCUUCUAUUGUUUCUUAUUUCUUAAUUUUUUUUUAAAAGAUUAUUUCUUAUUUCAACUUUUUAUAGCAUUUUUAUUUACUGUUUUGUCUAUCCUCAGAUAUAAGUAUGUUGUUCUGAAGAUAACAAUUAAAAUUUUAGGAUUCUUUCCUCCCCUUUAUCAUAAUUUUAAAAAAGGGAGUUGUUCCUCAAUUUGGAACUCAUUUUCCUCUAAGUAGAAGUGAUGUGUUCAGCAUCCUUCUUAUUCUUCUUUUAUUUAAUAGGUGGGGAGAAAUUUCUGCACAUUUAUAUAAUCAAUACUUCAAGGAUUUGUGCAAACUUUCUUAUAUAAGAAUAUUCUCCACAUUUAACCCUCUGCUAUAUUCUCUCUUCCGUCUCUCGUGAUUUUAAGAAAGGAAUAAGAUGUAGUAAGUUGUCUCAGCAAUCAGAAGUCAUUCCUCAAAUAUUCUAUCCAGAUAACAUUUGUGAGGCGUUCUACACAAAACAACUCCUCUGCUUACUUGUGGAGCUGUGUAGACUAUGCCUGUGACUUUCCUACAAGUUUUCAGGCACAUUGCCUUUAUCUCAGAGAAAUUCAAGCAGUUAUGGCACUCUAAGGUGAGGAAUAAGGCAUACAGGGCCACGGGACGGUUUUGUUCUUCCUUUCUGAUCAGGUUUCCCUCAUGGCCCUUCGCUGAGACAGUACUUACAAAUACUGCUAUUGUCACCUGCUGGCUAACUGGAGGAAACAUCACACUUCUCACAAAGCAUCUUUUGAAGUAUCCAUUCAAAACGGAUGCAAGAAUCACCACCAUAUGGAAAGAAAUAAGAUGGUCAAGACUGGGAGUUUCGGGAGUUCCUGGUGGUCCAGUGGCUAAGAUCCCAAUGCAGGAGAUCUGGGUUCGAUCCAUAGUCAGGGAACUAGACACCAGAUGCUGCAACUAA
This 1292-nucleotide long non-coding RNA is filed under the name Capra hircus (goat). RNAcentral describes it as "lncRNA (ENSCHIG00010022441.1)". The record is from RNAcentral. Lineage: Eukaryota; Metazoa; Chordata; Mammalia; Artiodactyla; Bovidae.